RNAcentral lists this long non-coding RNA (244 nucleotides) under Olea europaea (common olive). RNAcentral's name for it is "long non-coding RNA (OEUR_LNC001329)". Lineage: Eukaryota; Viridiplantae; Streptophyta; Magnoliopsida; Lamiales; Oleaceae. The record is from RNAcentral.
GCGUACUUCCAUGCUCUGAAAGAAGCCCGGGCCUUCCUCCGUCAGAAGUUGCCCGACGUCACUCCAGACGACCUGAAGACGGUGCCUUCCAUUGCUGAUACAUUGGAGCUCUCGGGUUCGGAAGAUGGAGGAGGAUCGGGUGGAGAUGAUGAGGAUGGUCUUGAGGACGACGUUGAGAUCGACAUCAGCAACCUCGACCCUCCUCUUGGCCACAUUGGAUGACUUCCCCACCCCAAUCCUUUGU